CACGUUAGCUUUGAUAACUUAGUAAGGUUGGUGAACUAUUUCUGGAGUUUAGUUGCGGUCAAAUGUUUAGUGGCAGCUUUCACUAAGUGGCUUUGAAUGCACCACCACGCACAGCGCAACUAAUUUCGGAAACAUACUGGACCAACCUUGCAGGCUCCAGACAGAAAGUAGCGAAAGGCAUGCAUUAACGAGACAGCUCCAUGUGGAAAGCCUUUUACUUCACCCCAGAAGCCAUCAUCCAGCAGAU
This is a long non-coding RNA of Xiphophorus hellerii (green swordtail), 247 nucleotides long. RefSeq lists it as uncharacterized. Lineage: Eukaryota; Metazoa; Chordata; Actinopteri; Cyprinodontiformes; Poeciliidae. The transcript is spliced from 2 exons. The record is from RefSeq and is a predicted model, not a curated record.